AAAAAUUAAAAAAAAAAGAAAAAAGAAAAAGCAUCUUUGUGUCUAGAAGGUUACAAGCUUGAGUAAAAGCAACCUCUCAGCGAAAAGUAAAAAAAAACCUUGAGAAAGUUGAGGAAGAUAGAUGAUUCUCCCUUGACCCCUACAAAGCAUGGAGCCUUGUAACUGGAUGCCAUUCUUGUGGAUUUUAUGUGAUGUUCGUGAAACUAGCUCACUCGUAUGAGGAGUGUAAGGUUUGUACUAAAAAUACAUUCAGAAAAUGAGAUAAUUUCCUUACUACAACUGAAGAAGUCAUUAUAGGUUUACUUAUUUGUACAGUUAUUUGAGAAACAACUCUAUAUAAUUAAAGAAAAAUGGGUAAGAAUUUAAAUGAGUUUGUGAAGCAAAGAUGUCCUGUGUUGUGGAAAGGGUGGUUUUCUUGGCUUCUGUUUGUAACUUGAGAUUCAUGGUCUUCGGUUGAAAUCUAUUUAGCAUGAUUGGAGAGCGCAACUAUUUUAGUUUUGUCUUUCUUAUUUGUUUUUAGCUACUAUUUAAGAUAGGAGGAUACCUUAUCCUAUAUUCUCUAGUUCGGCCGUAAUACAUCCAGUCAGCCUGUUGCAGCAAAGGCUGAAAGUUAAGCAAAAGCGUUGUACCUUAAAGUUGAAAAAUCCUGGAAUAGUAGCUAAUUGAAUGAAAUAAACAAAAAAUAUAAACUCUUUUAGGGUUAAAAAGUUUUUAAUAAUAUCCCAAACAAGUCUAAUGUGAAAUCUAGAAGAAAA
Molecule: unclassified non-coding RNA, 755 nt
Filed under: Hevea brasiliensis (rubber tree)
Lineage: Eukaryota; Viridiplantae; Streptophyta; Magnoliopsida; Malpighiales; Euphorbiaceae
Source: RNAcentral